This 206-nucleotide long non-coding RNA is filed under the name Homo sapiens (human). RNAcentral's name for it is "HSALNT0260694". Lineage: Eukaryota; Metazoa; Chordata; Mammalia; Primates; Hominidae. The record is from RNAcentral.
GGACUUACAGAUUUGGAGAAGCCCACACAGCACACGGCUCUGUCAAACACCCCCAAGCCCAGCACGUGGGUUCCCGCCACCUGUCCCGUGGCGAUGGUGACCAUAUCUGGGUGGAUGGCCAAGCUGCGGAAAGAAGGGACAGAGAGACCAGGGCUCAGUGGGAGAGAAGAGGCUCACAGAGACCCAGGACAUUCAUUCCACAAAUU